ACGAACGCUGGCGGCGUGCUUAACACAUGCCAGUCGAACGGGCCCGCCCCUGUUUUUGGGGGUGGGUUGAGUGGCGAACGGGUGAGUAUCACGUGAGUAACCUGCCCCCUGCUCCUGGAUAACUGCUUGAAAGGGCGGCUAAUACGGGGUGUGCCGGCUGGUCCGCAUGGGCCUGGUCGGGAUAGUUUCAUCUUCGGGUGUUUCGGUGGGGGAUGGGCUCGCGGCCUAUCAGCUUGUUGGUGGGGUGAUGGCCCACCAAGGCGGUGACGGGUAGCCGGCCUGAGAGGGUGGGCGGCCACGCUGGGACUGAGACACGGCCCAGACUCCUGUGGGAGGCAGCAGGGGGGGGUAUGGCACAAUGGGCGGAAGCCUGAUGCAGCGACGUCGCGUGAGGGAUGGAGGCCUUCGGGUUGUGAACCUCUUUCUCCGGUGGUGAAGGCCCUGUCCGUUGCGGCGGGGUUGACGGUAGCCGGGUAUGAAGCGCCGGCUAACUACGUG
This 498-nucleotide ribosomal RNA is filed under the name uncultured bacterium. Its description in RNAcentral is "partial 16S ribosomal RNA". It matches the Rfam family "Bacterial small subunit ribosomal RNA", at positions 29 to 507 of the family's 1533-position model. The record is from RNAcentral.